Non-coding RNA from Salmo salar (Atlantic salmon), 282 nucleotides. The record is from RefSeq and is a predicted model, not a curated record. Lineage: Eukaryota; Metazoa; Chordata; Actinopteri; Salmoniformes; Salmonidae.
CUAGGGAACCUUUACCCAGUAGGUAUUAACUAGGGAAUGACCAGUAGGUAUUAACUAGGGAAUGACCAGUAGGUAUUAACUAGGGAAUGACCAGUAGGUAUUAACUAGGGAAUGACCAGUAGGUAUUAACUAGGGAAUGACCAGUAGGUAUUAACUAGGGAAUGACCAGUAGGUAUUAACUAGGGAAUGACCAGUAGGUAUUAACUAGGGAAUGACCAGUAGGUAUUAACUAGGGGAAUGACCAGUAGGUAUUAACUAGGGAAUGACCAGUAGGUAUUAACU